CCUCCUGCCUCGGCCUCCCAGAGUGCUAGGAUUACAGGCACGCACAGCUACAAAGGAAACUGAUACUGGGAUGUUGUAUCAGACUGGAAUCCAUGAAUGGAAUUGCCUUCAGUCAUGUGAUUUUCCAAAGCGAUGGGAUCUUGCU
Molecule: long non-coding RNA, 145 nt
Organism: Lemur catta (Ring-tailed lemur)
Lineage: Eukaryota; Metazoa; Chordata; Mammalia; Primates; Lemuridae
Exons: 3
Source: RefSeq, a predicted model, not a curated record